This 491-nucleotide ribosomal RNA is filed under the name uncultured bacterium. RNAcentral describes it as "partial 16S ribosomal RNA". It matches the Rfam family "Bacterial small subunit ribosomal RNA", at positions 29 to 507 of the family's 1533-position model. The record is from RNAcentral.
GUGCACGCUGGCGGUAGGCCUAACCAAUGCCAGUCGCACGGCAGCACAGUAAUAGUUUGCUCUUACGGGUGGCGAGUGGCGGACUGGUGAGGAAUACAUCGGAAUCUACUUUUUCGUGGGGGAUAACGUAGGGACACCUACUCUUAUACCUUAUACGACCUACGCGUGAAAGCCGGGGAUCUUCGGUCCUUGCGCGACUGAAUGAGCCGAUCUCGGAUUAUCUUGUUGUGGGGGUAAAGGCCCACCAAAGCAAGGAUCAGUAGCUGGUCCGAAAGGAUGAUCAGCACAAUUGGAACUGAGACACGGACCAAAUUCCUAAGGGAGGAGGCGUUGGGGAAUAUUGGACAAUGGGCGAAAACCUAAUCCAGCAAGACCGGGUGGGUGAAGAAGGCCUUCGGGUUGUAAAGACCUUUUGUUGGGAAAGAAAAGCAGAAGGUUAAAACCCCGCUGUUCUGACGGUACCCAAAGAAUAAGCACCGGCUAACUUCGUG